CCCUGCCAUUUGUACACACCGCUUGUCGCUCCCACCGAUUAAGUGAUCCGGUGAAGUAUUUGGACCCCCGUGCGUCCAGUUCCUGGAUGCGUUUGUGGGAAGUUUUGUGAACCUUACCACUUAGUGGA
RNAcentral lists this ribosomal RNA (128 nucleotides) under uncultured eukaryote. RNAcentral describes it as "partial small subunit ribosomal RNA". It matches the Rfam family "Eukaryotic small subunit ribosomal RNA", at positions 1651 to 1780 of the family's 1831-position model. The record is from RNAcentral.